AUGGAAGGGUUGUACCACGGAGAAGGGGUGAUAAAUAUUGAAGAUGAUGAGGAAGAGAUCCAGGCCGCACUUCGGGAGACACUAAGAGACAAGAAUGUCUCUCGCGCAGUUGAGAGGAGGCGUGGGAGUGGCAGUGGUGUUUGUGUGUCUCUUGGGAAACAAAGUAUCACAUCAUACUUGGACAAGGAAUUGUCGAGCAACAAAGUAUCAAUGCAGCCAAAGAUCAACACUGCUUUGAAUGUUGAGUCAAAAGAUGUACUUGGCCAAGCUUGGGCAAAGUUUUUUCAUGCUAAUGACAUUGCUGGUCUGAAAGCAAAUUUUUCCUAUUUUCGUGCGGCUGUCAAGAUAACUCAAAACCUUGGCCCAGCUCCUGUUCCAACUGCCAAGGAGAUUGAUGGGAUAUAUUUGGCGAAGAAUUAUGAAGAAGCUGAGCAGUGGCUGAAGAUGUUCAAGCAAGACUGGAGGAACUAUGGUGUAACUGUGAUGUGUGACUCAUGGACAUGGCCUACUGGUAUGAGUCUCAUCAAUUUCAUGGUGUAUUGCAAUGCAUGGAUGUUCUUUCAUAAAUCCAUUGAUGCUUCUGGUCAAACUCAGACUGCAGAUACGUGCUGA
Molecule: ribosomal RNA, 612 nt
Filed under: Triticum aestivum (bread wheat)
Lineage: Eukaryota; Viridiplantae; Streptophyta; Magnoliopsida; Poales; Poaceae
Description: partial small subunit ribosomal RNA
Source: RNAcentral